GGGAUACGUUCGUUGGGUAGGGGAGCGUUCUGUAAGCCUGUGAAGGUGUGUCGUGAGGCAUGCUGGAGGUAUCAGAAGUGCGAAUGCUGACAUAAGUAACGAUAAAGCGGGUGAAAAGCCCGCUCGCCGGAAGACCAAGGGUUCCUGUCCAACGUUAAUCGGGGCAGGGUGAGUCGACCCCUAAGGCGAGGCCGAAAGGCGUAGUCGAUGGGAAACGGGUUAAUAUUCCCGUACUUGGUGUUACUGCGAAGGGGGGACGGAGAAGGCUAUGUUGGCCGGGCGACGGUUGUCCCGGUUUAAGCGUGUAGGUGUGUGUUCCAGGUAAAUCCGGUUCACUUUAACACUGAGGCGUGACGACGAGGCACUACGGUGCUGAAGCAACAAAUGCCCUGCUUCCAGGAAAA
This 404-nucleotide ribosomal RNA is filed under the name Salmonella enterica. Its description in RNAcentral is "partial 23S ribosomal RNA". It matches the Rfam family "Bacterial large subunit ribosomal RNA", at positions 1212 to 1616 of the family's 2925-position model. Lineage: Bacteria; Pseudomonadati; Pseudomonadota; Gammaproteobacteria; Enterobacterales; Enterobacteriaceae. The record is from RNAcentral. RNAcentral also lists the same sequence under 1 other name.